RNAcentral lists this long non-coding RNA (8187 nucleotides) under Capsicum annuum. RNAcentral describes it as "long non-coding RNA (CANN_LNC017224)". The record is from RNAcentral. Lineage: Eukaryota; Viridiplantae; Streptophyta; Magnoliopsida; Solanales; Solanaceae.
AGAUAAGUCAUCAUAGGUGAAACUGCUUUGGUUAAAACCAAGAGCCAUAGAUGGGUGUGGGGGUGGUAAUGGAGGUUGAUAUGGACCAGAAAAAGCGGCAGAGCUAAUUUCACUGCUACUCAUCAUUGGUGGUGGUGGUGGAGGUGCUAUUGGCCAGCUCAAUUCUGAACUUACAUUUGUACUAGUUGGUUGAGUAGUAGGCAUCUUAACCAUAUGUUCAGUUGAUAUAACAUUGUUGUUGUUGUGCCAAUUCCCAUAUUGUCCACUAUUAUAGUAGUCAGUACCUGCACGAUACAUGAAAACAUGAUUACAUACGUACUAAGCUAAUAUAGCUAUCUAUUUUAAUUAAGAGAGAUUAAGUAAACAGAUUUAGAGAAUUUAAUUUAAAGAAGGCACAAAUAAAGAAAUAUAUUCUAGUUAAUUUAUUACAUUUAUCAUAUUUUUUUAUUGUUAGUCAUUAUAACCAAUUACUAUUUUAACAUGUUUCGUGGAACACAAAGUUAAUGAGCUCAAAUCUUAUGAUCUUUUAUGGUUAGGCUUAUAAGUGAUUCAUAUUGGUUUACAACCAUUUUUUGUCUUAUUUGCAAUAAGCUAAAAUCUAUCAAAAGUCAUAAGUUGUUUACUUUUAACUUAUAACUUCAACUUAUAAAAACUUUUAGUUUGAGAAUAAUGAAGUCUCAAAAUAUCUUUUUUCAUAAUAAAAUUGUAACUUCUGCGCGUUCUAUAUUUGAUGUUUCGCAUUUCAUUUAAAAGAAACUUUUAUAUUCCUAAUUUUUGUUCAACACUCAAAGGUUUUAAUUAGUCAUUUUAAUGAAAAAUAAUACAUAAUAUUUUGGCCUAACACGUCAAUUGCUUAGUACCUGUUUUAAUAUUUUUAUCCAAACACAUGAUUACUUAGUAUAAAACACAACUAGAACGCUUUUAAAUAUUCUUACUUACCAUAUAUUGACAAUCAGUGAAUCUAAACGGGUUCGUAUGCCGAUUUUUAGGGUGACAAAGAAAGCACAAAUAUGAAAUAACAAUUUCAACAAAUCUUGAAACUGAAUAAUGAUAUACUCUGGAACUAGAAGACAAAAAUAGUAUAACGUGCAUGAAUGAGAAUGAGAAGAUAACCAAGAAAUGGGUUAGAUAGAGAAAGUUCUCUGCUUUCUCUCUACUUCACUCCCACUGGUCUCGUAAUCAAAGGACAACAUUUUCUUUCCUGAAUAUAUUAUGCUAAUAGAUACCAAUAAUGCAGUAGAAACCACAGCAAAUGGGAACUUUUCCUAUCUGCAAAAAUUAAUGACACCCUCUCAACUAUCUUUUGUAAAUACUUCUACUUUCUCACUAUAAGUUGACAUGAAUGACGAGAUCCUGAUAUAGAACGACGACCCAAACUUUAUUCCGCUAACAACUGAGGACAAAAACCGUAUCUACAAGCCUUGGCAGCACUCUUUAAUCAUAAAGCUUAUUGGAAGGAAAAUGGGUGACCAACUCCUAAAGCAAAAAUUAACACAAAUAUGGAAGCCCACAGAAAUCUUGUUGACUUAGGAUCGGACUACUUUCUCAUUAAAUUCUUGAAUGAUAAAAAUGGUUUCCAUGUACUACACAAUGGACCUUGGUUCGUAAUAAACAACCAUUUAUCAGUCCAAAGAUGGGAGCCAAAAUUUGUUGCAUCACAAACGGUCACUUAUACAACAAUUUGGCUUCGACUCCCAAAACUGCCUAGUGAAUUCUAUGAUCGGGAUAUUCUACAUAAAGAAGGCCAAAAGGUAGGAACCUUGCGAAAAAUUGAUGAAUGUACCUCUACAACAACUAGAGGAAGGUAUGCGUGCCUAUGUGUUCAAGUUUCGAUGGAACAACCCUUAAUUCAUCAUGUCUAUAUCGGAUCACAUAAGCAAGUGAUUCAUUAAGAGGGUAUUGACUUACUGUGACUUAUUGGUCGACCAUAACAACUCCUAAGCAUGUCGGAGGUCUAGUCAAACAGAGUUUAGCAAUGAAAAACUGUUUAUUGCUGGCUUUUACAGGAUGGCACUUAUUUCACGGCCAAAAUACCAUUUGGGCAUCCAUACUAAGAAAUAAAUACUUAAGAACCUCUAUAGCCCCUGCGACCACUUCCACAACCUGGAACAACCUACAGGUUUGUUGGAAAUAUUGUCAGAAAGGGCUUCUAUGUCAGCCAGCAAAUGGAAGACACAUUAGCUUCUAGAACAAACCUUGGUUUAACCGGGGCACCCCUUAUACAUGGACCCUUAACGCAACAUGAAGACUCCAAAAAAGUUUUCUAAUAUAGACAAGACAAUGAUUGGAAUUUGAGUAAGGUUCCCUUUAUCUUAGCCCAACCUAUAGUUAGACAAAUUCAAUCGACAUACUUUCCACUAUACUCGAAUAGCUACGAUCAUAUUAAAUGGGAUCUAACACCCAUAGGUAAGUUAACGCUACACACUUUUUACAACUAUAUAAGUGUAGAAUAUAUGGAUAUUACCAACCCUUGCAACUUUAAUUGGAUUUGGAAGAUUAAUACUCUCCCAAAAAUUAAGAACUUUCUGUUGUUGUUAACUUUAAUUCGACUUCCAACUUUGUCCCACCUACGCCACAUAUCUUACUUAUAAUCAUCAGCUUGUAAGCUUUUCCAUAGUGAUUACUUAUAAUCAUCAGCUUGUAAGCUUUUCCAUAGUCAUGAUCCCGAAAUAGUACAUCAUUUGUUCUCUUCUUGUGCCUCACUUACAGGCUUCUGUGAAAACUUAGUCGCAAAAAUUGGUUCAUAAAUGCAUCCUCCUCCACAUAGCUCUCAUAUCACUUUCAUUAAUUGGCUGAAGGGUAAUAUCCAAAGACAGAAGCGCACAUCUUCGAGCAUACCAAUGGAAAUAUUGCUAUCUUUUUCUUUAUGGGUCAUAUGGAACCAUCGUAAUAGCGUCAUGUUUAGUAGUAACUAUUGUGUAAACCCUUCUCCAACUGCUGCUAAUUGUUUGGCUACUGAAUUUUUGUAUUUUGUGGGAGACUCACACAUCAAAAAUAAGUUUUUCACCCUUUAGGUCAAAUAAAAGCCUCCUACACCUAAUUAUUUAAUGCUAAACACUGAUGCUACCAUUUCUUUAAACAUGAAUAUAAGAGGAUUAGGGGGGGUUCGUUCAAGCAUGGGUGAAUGGAUUCUGCGUUUUACUGCGCAUACUAUUAUUCAUGAUCUUACUCAGUUAGAUUCUUGCUCUAUUCAUUGGCUUGCUGUUUGCUGUGAAAUACAAUCUGGAACCACUGCAAGUCAAUGUAGAUGUAGUCCAGCUAGCUUCCUGUUAGGUUUUUGCCCUAAUUUUUUUACUAUAUUUAAGUUUUACUUUUUCUUAGAAGCAAAAUAAAAGUUUCUAUAAUUAUUUUUACUUUUCCUGAAAAAAAAACAUAAUUCUUUUUCAUAUUUGGCUAACCUCUUUCUUGGAGGAAAGGUUUUGGGACUUUAUAAACCCUCUUCUCAUACAAUAACACAAUAGCAUCCACAAUGUAGUCUUUUAAGAUUUUCAUUUAGGGGGAGAUUUUUUCUCAUAUUAGUUUUAUGUUUUUAAUAUUAGGUUUUAUAUAUAGGUCAAUUGGUGAAAACAUAUAAUAGUUUUAUGCUCUUUAGUGUUAUUUUCUUUGUUGUCUAAUUUAUCAUCUCAUGAUAUGCAAACUUUAAGCUUCCGCAUGACGCCCUCUCGAUUUCGAACCCAACACUUCCAACUAUGCUAAAUAGCGUAGAAACAUAUGCUAACUUUUCCUCAGUCUUAUGUGAUUGUAGGUUCCUUCUUCAUCAGCUGGGUAGUCCGAAACUUGUUCAUAUCUACAGAGCACAGAAUAGAAUAGCUGAUAGCCUAGCAAGACGAGAUCUCUACUGCACAACCAUCCAAUAUAUCUACUAGUUUUGCAGCCUCGGAUGCUUUUACUUUUUGGUCGCCUCCACCAGACAUGAUGGAUGUUUUGAAUGCAUAUAAAAUAGGAGACUUUGCUACUAGACGGGUUAAGACCUUGAGAGUUUUACUGCCUAGUACUUCUAUAUAUCCUCCUUGUACUGCUAUGUUAGGAACUACUAUGUUAGAAACUAUUGGAUGACUUAUAAAUAUUGCACAUUGUGCAGAUAUUAUGGUGACAGCGCUACCAAAUCGCACUCUGUAAUGUUUUGCUAUGAUGAUAAUAUAAUAUAAGAAUCCUAGUUACCAAAAAAAAAAGAAUGAGAAGAAUAACAAUUGCAACAAAUCUUGAAACUGAACAAUGAUAUACUCUCGAUUUAAAAGACAAAAAAAUAGUAUAACGUGGAUCCAUGAGUAUGAGAAGAAUAAGAUCCACAUUAUUUUCAAUUUACUUUAGUCAUUUGUUUUUGGAAAAAGGUCAAAAAUUCCUCUCUACUUUAAUAAGUUGUCUAAGUUUGUCUCUUGAUAUACUACAGAAUUAAAUAUACUCCUAUCAUUAGUAAAUUUAUUAAAAAUAUCCCUUACUUUAACAUUUUUUCUUCAUGACAAAGUGAGAGUCACGUGGCAUGACACUUGAAUGAAGUGAAUGCAACGUGACAUGCCAACUCAGGACCAAUUUUUUGCUUUUUCCUUUUUAUUUUUCUGGCUUUAUUAACUAUUUGACCGGUAAUAAAAUAAAAUAAAAAUAUUUUAAAAAAAUAAUUUCCCCCUCCGUCUCAUUUUAUAUGUCGGAAUUUUCAUUUUUGUUUGUUCCAAAAUGAAUAUAAUAUUUCCUUAUUUAAUAAUUAUUUAAAGACAUAAUUUCACAUUUAUCUUUAUUGGUCUCAAUAGUACAUUUUUUGAAAAUAAUUUAUUAAAAAUCAUUAAAUCUUUUCUUAUUUCUUAAAUUUGUGCCCUCUCAAACUAUUGCAUAUAAAAUAAGACGGAUGAAGUAAUUAAUAACAAUUUUGUCCAUCCCAGCAUCACAUCACACCACAAACCAUCACUUUUUUCUGGGACCUUGAAUUAAAAGGGACAAAAAAGCUUUCCAAUUAAGUGAGGGUCUUUGAAGUUUUAAAAAUUAGGUAAAGGGAUAAAUUCUUUUUCAAUUUUUUUUAAACAUUUUUAUUCCAACAACUUUGCACAGUUGUUGAACAACUUUGUACAAUUAUUGAACAACAUUGAAAAGUUGUCAAAUAACUUUGAUAGUUGUUUGACAACUUUACAAAGUUGUUUAACAAGUAUCAAAGUUGUUCGAUAAUUUUUCAAAGUUGUUCUACAACUGUACAAAGUUGUUCGACAACUUUGAUCGUUGUUUAAACAACUAAUGCAGUUAUCGAACAACUGUCUCAAUUAUUUAAGACACUUUAUCUUUUUAACUUAAUAAUAUUGUUGGACCCACUUAUUCUUUUUUUAAUUAAAAACUUGAGAGGUAUUUCAGCUCAUUUUUCUCCAAGUGUCACACCACCAUCAGUCCCCACAACCUUUUCCCUCUUUUUCCGGCCAAACUCCGAUGCCAUUAACGCCGUGCUUCAAGCCCGUGUAAACCAACAAUGACCAGUCUCUUUUCUUACCCCCUUCACAUUUUAUUUUAGUUUCUCUUUCUGUCUUUUAGAGGUUCUUGGACAAACUCAUCAUGAAGUAGGUCAAACCUUGGCAGAACACACAAUCUAGAUUAAAUCUAUUGAACAUAGUCUCCGGCAAACUAGUACCCGAGACUGCUCCAUAUUUAUUCUUAGAUAGUGCUUUAAAGCUCCCUAGUUUUUUGAUUAAAAAAUUAAUUUAGAAUAUAUAAAAAAUGUUAUUCAUCAAAUUUUUUAGAAUAUUUAUUUUUCUAAAUUAUAUAAUUCUUAUAAUUUGAAGCAAAAAAUAAAAAUGAUAAAGGGAAAAGAAAAUUUGAUGAUGAGGUGAUAUGUCAUGUGUCAAAUCAAAUAAAAAGUGUUAAAAAGUGUUAUGGUAGAAAAUUGGAUGACUCUCACCUAAAUAUGGUGGAUAAGUGUUAAAAAGAGAUAUAUUUUUGAUAAUUGUGCUAAUAACACAAGUAUAUUUAACUCUAUAAUAAAUUGAAUAACAAUCUUAGUUACUUUAACAAAGUAGAGGGAUUUUUUAAAUUGUUUUCCCUAUAUUUUAUGGAUCGUUAGAUUGAUAGCCAAAUUCUUUUUCAAUGAUUGCAUAUCUGUCAAUUCUCUUUCAUAGGUAGUGCAUUUAUAACUAAUUCUAUUCGAAUGACGACGUUAAAUAGAAAAAUGAUUUCUUCAACAUAAAAUAUAUUUCCUUCAUUCUCUUUUACUCAUCACAAAUUUUCUAACUUAAUUUUUAUUUUUAUUUAUCAUUUUCACUGAUUUAGACAAGACAAAUUUGUUUUUCAUACUAUACCCUUAUUUUAUUACUCCUAAUAGUAUUGAACUAAUUAACCUUGUAGAAUGUUUGAAGACCUUUUGAAGUCUCCAAAGGUUAAAUUAAUCGUGCGGAACUCACAAAGUGUUUAAACCAUUCAUUAAUCGAUAAAAAAAUUAAAUUAUCUAGCUCAAUGAAAAUAUUUAAAUUUAUAUGAUUCAGUAGACUUAGAUUGAUUUUGUCAUGUAUCCAUUGUUGUUUGAAAUUUUAUUUCACUGAAGUAUUUUUAUAAUGAAAUAUUAGAUGAAAAAAUUUUUAAUGUUGGUAUAAAAAUAAUGCAGAAGUUUAAAUUGUUUUCCUCCAAAUUUUUUUACUACAAUUCUACUAAAGAAAUUAACUUUGUUGGAAUUCAACUAAAGAAAAUGGAUGAACUGCUCCAUUAUAAUAUAAAAGUCAGCUAAUAACUCUUACCCAAUAAAAUGUUUUGAUAUCAUUGAAAUAAUUACUCUACCAAUAUUGAAAUUGACUUUAUUUAAUACUACAUGGCACAACCAUUAAUAGAGGGCAAUAUUGUAAAAUUAUAUCAAUCUUUAAUUUCUUAAUAUGUGUGUCAUCUCAAUUUGUGACGAGUAAAAUCGAAGGGAGUAAUUUAUUUUGUCUAAUUUUUGUGAAGCUUUUUUUAGUCAAUCUAACAAAAAAUGAUAUUAUUUUAAUUUAUUAUAUUUAGUGAUACUAUCAACAUUUAUUUAUAGUAGGUCCCACUCAUUUGAUAUUGUAGAAAAUUCAGGAUCACUCAUAAGGAUUGUUUUAAGGCCGAUUAGGGUAAUUAAGUUAAAACACAUACAUGAUGUAUAAUUAAAUAGCUACUCAUAAUAGAAAUCAUUAGUAUUUUUUAUAUUUUAUUCGCUCCAUCAAUCAUUUAAAGUUUAAGCGGUGAUAUAGGAGUUGCGCCAACAUAUUAUGCCGACCACCAUAAACCAGUAAUUUUAAUCACUAUUCAUCCUACUCUUCUGCUUCUAGUACGAGAAGAACAAGUAAGUCCCCCUUUAUAGUUUACUUACUAUUUAAUAGUUUAGAUUAACGUAAUAUGUAAGCGAUCAGAUAAAAAAUACACAAAGUUGUAGUCAUCUAUCUAAAAAUUUAUUUAUUUUAUGGUUAAUUUUGAAACAUUGUAAAGUUUUUUCAAAUUUCUUAAGACAUCUUACCCGUCAUAUCACAUCCAGUUUGGUCAUGAAAAUAAUAAUUUUUUAGAGUUGAAUGAAGUUAGAGGUAAUGUUGUUUUAUCAUGAAAAUAAAUUAAAAUUAUUUUUAAAAUUUUGUUAGAAAAAUAGGAGUGAAUAAGUGAAAACGAGUUUUACUUAUUUUCACUUUUUAAAAAUAUUUUUCACUAAAGUAAAAUAUUUCUUAUGGACAAACACUAUUAUUUUUAUUUUUAAAAAUAAUUUUUUUUAGAAAAAGUAAAAUAAAAUGAAAUGAAUGGAAUAUAUAUAAUCUAAGUGAACAAAAAAAUCAAUUCACAUACUCUUGCCUCCAUGAGAAUUAUCCCUGUAGUAGCCCAUUUGGUCACGUGGCCUUCUUCUUUUUCGUUUACAGCAAGAUAUGAGGAAAACUAACAUGACAAGGAUCAAUAACCCUGCUCCUGCAGCAACUCCCACAAUGAUGGAUGUUCUGUUAUCAUCAGUCUUGUUAUUAUGAUCUAACGACUUGAUUGGUGGUGACUUAUGCUUCGGAGGAAAAAGAGACCCAGAGUUGGGACGAAAAGGAGAAGAAGGCGGUGGUGGUGGAGGAGGUGGUGGUGGUGGUGGUGGUGGAGGUGGUGAACCUCCAUUUGAAUUUGUUGAUUUUAAUGGAGGUGGAGAUUUCCUAUUAUUAUUAUUGUUAAUGUUACUAUUGUUGCUAUUGUCAUUCUUAUUGUCACCAUUGUUGUUAUUGUUGUUGUUGUUAUUGCCAUUGUUAC